RNAcentral lists this ribosomal RNA (375 nucleotides) under uncultured organism. RNAcentral describes it as "partial 16S ribosomal RNA". It matches the Rfam family "Bacterial small subunit ribosomal RNA", at positions 527 to 896 of the family's 1533-position model. The record is from RNAcentral.
GUAGGUGGCAAGCGUUGUCCGGAAUUAUUGGGCGUAAAGCGCGCGCAGGUGGUUCUUUAAGUCUGAUGUGAAAGACCCCCGGGCUCAACCGGGGAGGGUCAUUGGAAACUGGGGAACUUGAGUGCAGGAGAGGAAAGUGGAAUUCCACGUGUAGCGGUGAAAUGCGUAGAUAUGUGGAGGAACACCAGUGGCGAAGGCGACUUUCUGGCCUGUAACUGACACUGAGGCGCGAAAGCGUGGGGAGCAAACAGGACUAGAUACCCUGGUAGUCCACGCCGUAAACGAUGAGUGCUAAGUGUUGGGGGGGUUUCCGCCCCUCAGUGCUGCAGCUAACGCAUUAAGCACUCCGCCUGGGGAGUACGGUCGCAAAGGCUG